AUGGACGCCAGCCUCCGCACGCUGUCCCCGUCCAGCUUCACGGGGGAGGUGCGCUCCGCGGUGUCCUCCCUCCUGCUCUCCCCCGGCGGCGCCAGCGCCCUCGACACCGUCUUCUCCCACCUCCCGCCCCCGGUCACCAUCCCGCCGCUCGGCUCCAGCGUCUACUACCGCCAGAGCGAGCUCCUCCGCAGCUUCGCCGCCACGCAGCCGCACCACCAUCUUGCCAGCUCCUCGUCGGGCUACGCUCUUCCUUUUCCUGGAACCGCGGCGUCGCACGACGCGGCGGCGGCGGCGGCGGGGAGGAAGAUGUACCGCGGCGUGCGGCAGCGGCAGUGGGGCAAGUGGGUGGCGGAGAUCCGGCUGCCGCAGAACCGGGUGCGCGUCUGGCUCGGCACCUACGACUCGCCCGAGACCGCCGCGCACGCCUACGACCGCGCCGCCUACCGGCUCCGCGGCGAGUACGCGCGCCUCAACUUCCCCGGCGUCAUGGACGGCGCCGACGACGCCCGCUUCCCCGACGCCCUCCGCCAGCUCCGCGACGCCGUGGACGCCAAGAUCCAGGCCAUCCGCGUCCGCAUGGCCCGCAAGCGCGCGCGCGCCAGGCGGCUGCGCGAGGAGGCCAAGCAGCAGCAGCAGAGCAACAACACCCAGCGCGCCGCGUCCGCCGAGGCCGCCCCGGUGGCGCCGACGGCCCCGCGCCCCGUGGUCUCCGAGAGCGCCACGACGUCCGAGACGACGACGUCGUCGUACGGGUCGCCGGAGGGGGUGCUGUCGGCGGCCGACUUCGAGUGCUCGCUCCAGCGGAUGCCGUCCUUCGACCCGGAGCUGAUCUGGGAGAUGCUCAACUUCUAG
Molecule: ribosomal RNA, 852 nt
Filed under: Triticum aestivum (bread wheat)
Lineage: Eukaryota; Viridiplantae; Streptophyta; Magnoliopsida; Poales; Poaceae
Description: partial small subunit ribosomal RNA
Source: RNAcentral